This 494-nucleotide ribosomal RNA is filed under the name uncultured bacterium. RNAcentral describes it as "partial 16S ribosomal RNA". It matches the Rfam family "Bacterial small subunit ribosomal RNA", at positions 28 to 507 of the family's 1533-position model. The record is from RNAcentral.
GACGAACGCUGGCGGCGUGCUUAACACAUGCCAGUCGAACGGUGAAGCGCCUUCCUUUUUGGUGGGUGUGGAUGAGUGGCGAACGGGUGAGUAACACGUGAGUAACCUGCCCCCUUCUUCUGGAUAACCGCAUGAAAGUGUGGCUAAUACGGGAUAUUCUGGGUCUGUCGCAUGAUGGGUCUGGGAAAGAUAUUGUUUCGGUGGGGGAUGGGCUCGCGGCCUAUCAGCUUGUUGGUGGGGUGAUGGCCUACCAAGGCGGUGACGGGUAGCCGGCCUGAGAGGGUGGACGGUCACACUGGGACUGAGACACGGCCCAGACUCCUACGGGAGGCAGCAGUGGGGAAUAUUGCACAAUGGGCGCAAGCCUGAUGCAGCGACGCCGCGGGAGGGAUGGAGGCCUUCGGGUUGUGAACCUCUUUCGCCAGUGAAGCAGGCCUGCCUCGUUUGUGGGUGGGUUGACGGUAGCUGGAUAAGAAGCGCCGGCUAACUACGUG